CAGAUGCAGACGACACAACACAAGUUUGUGGCUAAUUUUUAUCUGAGGCAUUUAUGUGAUGUGAUGGUUUUUUUCACCUUGGAGAUCCAAUGCAUCCC
This is a non-coding RNA of Triticum aestivum (bread wheat), 98 nucleotides long. NCBI's taxonomy places the organism in Eukaryota, Viridiplantae, Streptophyta, Magnoliopsida, Poales, Poaceae. The record is from Rfam.